This 496-nucleotide long non-coding RNA is filed under the name Phoenix dactylifera (date palm). RNAcentral's name for it is "long non-coding RNA (PDAC_LNC012438)". Lineage: Eukaryota; Viridiplantae; Streptophyta; Magnoliopsida; Arecales; Arecaceae. The record is from RNAcentral.
CUUAGCCAGUCCUUGUAAUUGGUUCCGGUCAGUCGGUUGGUCUCAAGAAUACGGGUCAAAGGGUUUGAAGCUGACAUUGUAUCUGCAGAGAGUAAAGAUUCUAGUUAGACUUUUGUACCUGAUCCUAAUCUGUUCUGAGGUCUUUUAGAACAAAUGUAACUCCCACUAUUUUCUCGAAUCGCUCACACUCCCCUGGUAGGAAAACGGAAAUCCCACACGACUAGGGUUUCUAGUGGGUACUGCGGUCCCACCAAUUUACAUGCCACCUCACCUAACAGUUAUUGGUGACACAUAGAUUGAUGAAUGUACAACUCUUGUACAAUGCUUCUCAAGCAUGUUAAAGUGUAACUUGGUCUCUAAGCCAUGAAAACCUCACCUAACAGUUAUUGGUCUCAUUUCUUAGUUAAGUCAGACCCACCGUAUAACCGUAGGAAUAAAGUCGUCAUUGGGUCCUCACCUAACAGUUAUUGGUGCCCAACCCCACCUUUAUCCUACA